AUACGGGUGCCAGAAAGUUUAAUGGGUUAGUUUUAAGCGCUGAAUAUGAGUUUGUUCUCCCUGUAUA
This 67-nucleotide transfer RNA is filed under the name Diplostomum pseudospathaceum. RNAcentral's name for it is "tRNA-Leu". The record is from RNAcentral. Lineage: Eukaryota; Metazoa; Platyhelminthes; Trematoda; Diplostomida; Diplostomidae.